GACGAACGCUGGCGGCGUGCCUAAUACAUGCAAGUCGGACGAGAGCAACCGGUGCUUGCACUGGUCAAUCUAGUGGCGAACGGGUGAGUAACACGUGGGUAACCUGCCCAUCAGAGGGGGAUAACAUCCGGAAACGGAUGCUAAAACCGCAUAGGUCUUCGAACCGCAUGGUUUGAAGAGGAAAAGAGGCGCAAGCUUCUGCUGAUGGAUGGACCCGCGGUGCAUUAGCUAGUUGGUGAGGUAACGGCUCACCAAGGCCGUGAUGCAUAGCCGACCUGAGAGGGUGAUCGGCCACAUUGGGACUGAGACACGGCCCAAACUCCUACGGGAGGCAGCAGUAGGGAAUCUUCCGCAAUGGACGCAAGUCUGACGGAGCAACGCCGCGUGAGUGAAGAAGGUUUUCGGAUCGUAAAACUCUGUUGUUAGAGAAGAACAAGUGCUAGAGUAACUGUUAGCGCCUUGACGGUAUCUAACCAGAAAGCCACGGCUAACUACGUG
RNAcentral lists this ribosomal RNA (498 nucleotides) under uncultured bacterium. Its description in RNAcentral is "partial 16S ribosomal RNA". It matches the Rfam family "Bacterial small subunit ribosomal RNA", at positions 28 to 507 of the family's 1533-position model. The record is from RNAcentral.